RNAcentral lists this ribosomal RNA (449 nucleotides) under uncultured bacterium. RNAcentral describes it as "partial 16S ribosomal RNA". It matches the Rfam family "Bacterial small subunit ribosomal RNA", at positions 29 to 523 of the family's 1533-position model. The record is from RNAcentral.
AGCGAACGCUGGCGGCAGGCCUAACACAUGCAAGUCGAACGAACUCUUCGGAGUUAGUGGCGGACGGGUGAGUAACACGUGGGAACGUGCCUUUAGGUUCGGAAUAACUCAGGGAAACUUGUGCUAAAACCGAAUGUGCCCUUCGGGGGAAAGAUUUAUCGCCUUUAGAGCGGCCCGCGUCUGAUUAGCUAGUUGGGGAGGUAACGGCUCACCAAGGCGACGAUCAGUAGCUGGUCUGAGAGGAUGGCCAGCCACACUGGGACUGAGACACGGCCCAGACUCCUACGGGAGGCAGCAGUGGGGAAUCUUGCGCAAUGGGCGAAAGCCUGACGCAGCCAUGCCGCGUGAAUGAUGAAGGUCUUAGGAUUGGAAAAUUCUUUCACCGGGGACGAUAAUGACGGUACCCGGAGAAGAAGCCCCGGCUAACUUCGUGCCAGCAGCCGCCGUAA